UACGUAGGGGGCUAGCGUUGUCCGGAAUCAUUGGGCGUAAAGAGCGUGUAGGCGGCUCGGUAAGUCCGCUGUAAAAGUCAAAGGCUCAACCUUUGAAUGUCAGUGGAUACUGCCGGGCUAGAGUCCGGAAGAGGCGAGUGGAAUUCCUGGUGUAGCGGUGGAAUGCGCAGAUAUCAGGAGGAACACCAACGGCGAAGGCAGCUCGCUGGGACGGUACUGACGCUGAGGCGCGAAAGCGUGGGGAGCGAACAGG
Molecule: ribosomal RNA, 253 nt
Filed under: uncultured bacterium
Lineage: Bacteria
Description: partial 16S ribosomal RNA
Rfam family: Bacterial small subunit ribosomal RNA
Source: RNAcentral